GCGUCUCAGUUCGGAUUGCAGGCUGCAACUCGCCUGUAUGAAGUCGGAAUUGCUAGUAAUCGCGGAUCAGCAUGCCGCGGUGAAUACGUUCCCGGGCCUUGUACACACCGCCCGUCACACCAUGAGAGCCGGGAACACCCGAAGUCCGUAGUCUAACCAUUAAGGAGGACGCGGCCGAAGGUGGGUUUGGUAAUUGGGGUGAAGUCGUAACAAGGUACC
This 219-nucleotide ribosomal RNA is filed under the name uncultured bacterium. Its description in RNAcentral is "partial 16S ribosomal RNA". It matches the Rfam family "Bacterial small subunit ribosomal RNA", at positions 1283 to 1500 of the family's 1533-position model. The record is from RNAcentral.